UACAGAGGGUGCGAGCGUUAAUCGGAAUUACUGGGCGUAAAGCGUGCGUAGACGGUUUUGUAAGUCGGAUGUGAAAGCCCCGGGCUUAACCUGGGAAUUGCAUUGAGGACUGGUGUGCUCGAGUGCGGCAGAGGGGGGUGGAAUUCCACGUGUAGCAGUGAAAUGCGUAGAGAUGUGGAGGAACACCGAUGGCGAAGGCAGCCCCCUGGGCCGACACUGACGCUCAUGCACGAAAGCGUGGGGAGCAAACAGG
RNAcentral lists this ribosomal RNA (253 nucleotides) under uncultured bacterium. RNAcentral describes it as "partial 16S ribosomal RNA". It matches the Rfam family "Bacterial small subunit ribosomal RNA", at positions 524 to 776 of the family's 1533-position model. The record is from RNAcentral.